AUUGAACGCUGGCGGCAUGCUUUACACAUGCAAGUCGAACGGCAGCGGGGAGGAGCUUGCUUCUCUGCCGGCGAGUGGCGAACGGGUGAGUAAUACAUCGGAACGUGUCGAGAAGAGGGGGAUAACCACCCGAAAGGGUGGCUAAUACCGCAUAAAUUCUGAGGAAGAAAGCUGGGGACCUAGGAAUAGGCCUAGCGCUUUUUGAGCGGCCGAUGUCGGAUUAGCUAGUUGGUGAGGUAAAGGCUCACCAAGGCGAAGAUCUGUAGCGGGUCUGAGAGGAUGAUCCGCCACACUGGGACUGAGACACGGCCCAGACUCCUACGGGAGGCAGCAGUGGGGAAUUUUGGACAAUGGGGGCAACCCUGAUCCAGCCAUGCCGCGUGUAUGAAGAAGGCCUUAGGGUUGUAAAGUACUUUUGUUAGGGAAGAAAAGUCAGCUGUGAAUAAUGGCUGAUGCUGACGGUACCUAAAGAAUAAGCACCGGCUAACUACGUG
Molecule: ribosomal RNA, 494 nt
Filed under: uncultured bacterium
Lineage: Bacteria
Description: partial 16S ribosomal RNA
Rfam family: Bacterial small subunit ribosomal RNA
Source: RNAcentral